RNAcentral lists this long non-coding RNA (275 nucleotides) under Populus tremula. Its description in RNAcentral is "long non-coding RNA (PTRE_LNC002059)". The record is from RNAcentral. Lineage: Eukaryota; Viridiplantae; Streptophyta; Magnoliopsida; Malpighiales; Salicaceae.
UUUUAACGACAAGGUUGUUUUGGUGGAGGGAGUAGGGAUUUGUGCUGUUUGUAACACAAAGUGAGGCAUUGCUCUUCUUACUUUUUUUAUUCCUUGUUUGGAUGAUAGACAGUUCUUGUUCUUUUAGGGUUUGGUUUGGUUUGGUUUGGUUAGGUUAGUGUUAGUUUAGGAGGAGGAGGAGGUGGUGGUGGUGGUGGACGGGUUUUGUUUCAUUUCUCGACGGAGACGAAGGAAAGAAAGAGAGGAGAGAGGAUGGGUGGGAUUUUUUAUGGGUG